This 56-nucleotide transfer RNA is filed under the name Triticum aestivum (bread wheat). The record is from Rfam by way of RNAcentral. Lineage: Eukaryota; Viridiplantae; Streptophyta; Magnoliopsida; Poales; Poaceae. RNAcentral also lists the same sequence under 1 other name.
GCUCAGUUGGUAGAGUACAAAGCUCUUAACCUUGUGGACAUGGGUUCGAGCCCCAC